This 492-nucleotide ribosomal RNA is filed under the name uncultured bacterium. Its description in RNAcentral is "partial 16S ribosomal RNA". It matches the Rfam family "Bacterial small subunit ribosomal RNA", at positions 29 to 507 of the family's 1533-position model. The record is from RNAcentral.
AGUGAACGCUGGCGGUAGGCCUAACACAUGCAAGUCGAACGGCAGCACAGUAAGAGCUUGCUCUUACGGGUGGCGAGUGGCGGACGGGUGAGGAAUACAUCGGAAUCUACUUUUUCGUGGGGGAUAACGUAGGGAAACUUACGCUAAUACCGCAUACGACCUACGGGUGAAGGCAGGGGAUCUUCGGACCUUGCGCGAUUGAAUGCGCCGAUGUCGGAUUAGCUAGUUGGCGGGGUAAAGGCCCACCAAGGGGACGAUCCGUAGCUGGUCUGAGAGGAUGAUCAGCCACACUGGAACUGGAACACGGUCCAGACUCCUACGGGAGGCAGCAGUGGGGAAUAUUGGACAAUGGGCGCAAGCCUGAUCCAGCCAUACCGCGUGGGUGAAGAAGGCCUUCGGGUUGUAAAGCCCUUUUGUUGGGAAAGAAAAGCAGCAGGUUAAUACCCCGCUGUUCUGACGGUACCCAAAGAAUAAGCACCGGCUAACUUCGUG